Molecule: long non-coding RNA, 264 nt
Filed under: Setaria italica (foxtail millet)
Lineage: Eukaryota; Viridiplantae; Streptophyta; Magnoliopsida; Poales; Poaceae
Description: long non-coding RNA (SITA_LNC007336)
Source: RNAcentral
AGUUUUCAUGCAUUACUGCCUGCUGCCAUUUGUUGUGGGCUUUAACCGUUUAAGUUUUCAUUAUUUCAUACGUACUGUAUGAGGCCUUGGCGCCUUGCUGGCAUCUCAAGAUAACAACACUAUUUUUCCUUUCACGAAAAUGGCAGGAGCUCGGCCGUUCAAUUAAGAAGGAAUAGAGGUUUAUGGUUAUAUGAUACAAAUGGCGGAUCUAGUUUUCUGAUUCGUUAUCUCCGCCGGGUGUAAGUGAUGUAUGUGCGUUUUCUA